RNAcentral lists this small RNA (470 nucleotides) under uncultured Archaeospora. Its description in RNAcentral is "SSU rRNA". It matches the Rfam family "Eukaryotic small subunit ribosomal RNA", at positions 569 to 1040 of the family's 1831-position model. Lineage: Eukaryota; Fungi; Glomeromycota; Glomeromycetes; Archaeosporales; Archaeosporaceae. The record is from RNAcentral.
AGCAGCCGCGGUAAUUCCAGCUCCAAUAGCGUAUAUUAAAGUUGUUGCAGUUAAAAAAGCUCGUAGUUGAAUUUUGGAUUCUGCCAGUUGGUCCAUCUUUUGAUGAGUACUGAUUGUGUGGGGUCCAUCCGCCUGGUGAUACGUGAUGUACUUUAUUGUAUGUUACGGGUAGUCAGGACCUUUACCUUGAAAAAAAUUAGAGUGUUUAAAGCAGGCUUAUGCCGGAAUACAUUAGCAUGGAAUAAUAGAAUAGGACGAUGUUGUUUUAUUUUGUUGGUUUCUAGGACAACCGUAAUGAUUAAUAGGGAUAGUUGGGGGCAUUAGUAUUCAAUUGUCAGAGGUGAAAUUCUUGGAUUUAUUGAAGACUAACUACUGCGAAAGCAUUUGCCAAGGAUGUUUUCAUUAAUCAAGAACGAAAGUUAGGGGAUCGAAGACGAUCAGAUACCGUCGUAGUCUUAACCAUAAACUAU